UGGGAAUUCAUCACUUCACUGGCAAACAGCUCCCAGCUUCAGUUUCUUGUUCUCCGCAACAACUCUUUCAGCGGGCAACUGCCUAAUUCAGUCGCAAACCUGUCAUCAACUCUGCAACGUCUUUAUUUGGGAAACAAUUCGAUUUCUGGGAAUAUUCCAAUAAACAUCGGAAAUUUGGUUGGUCUUACAUUACUUGAUAUGGCAAAUACUUUUGUAUCUGGACAGAUUCCAGAGAGCAUUGGUCAGCUAAGAAACUUGGUUGAUUUAGGCCUUUACAACACUAGCUUGUCAGGCCUGAUACCUUCAUCACUAGGAAAUCUUACACAGUUGAAUAGGCUUUAUGCAUACUAUGGAAACUUAGAGGGGCCAAUUCCAUCAAACUUGGGGAACUUAAAGAAUGUGUUUGCCUUUGAUCUCUCAACAAAUCGACUCAAUGGUUCAAUUCCUAUAGAGGUUUUAAAACUUCCUCAACUUUCCUGGUACUUAGACUUAUCAUAUAAUUCAUUAUCGGGGCCACUUCCAACUGAGGUUGGUACCAUGGUGAAUCUUAACGAACUGAUUCUGUCUGGAAACAAGUUGUCAGGCACCAUACCAGCUAGUGUUGGGAACUGUAUAUCAUUGGUACGACUGCUGCUCGAUAACAACUUAUUAGAAGGAAGCAUACCUCAAUCUCUGAAGAACUUAAAAGGUCUUGAAUUACUGAACCUAACAAUGAAUAAGCUAUCUGGUAGUAUUCCUGAUGCCCUUGCUAGCAUUGGCAACCUGCAACAACUGUAUCUUGCACACAACAACUUGUCAGGUUCCAUCCCCAAAGUUCUACAGAAUUUGACAUUGUUGGCAAAACUGGAUUUGUCCUUCAAUGAUCUGCAAGGCGAAGUGCCAAAAGGGGGUCCUUUUGCAAAUGCAACUCGCUUGUCAAUUGAUGGAAAUGAUGAGCUUUGUGGCGGAAACCCUCAACUUCAUUUAGCUCCGUGCUCCACAGCUGCUGCAGGGAAGAACCGAAGGCGAAUGUCAAGAUCACUUAUGGUUUCCGUAGCGUCAAUCUGCGCACUUCUAUUCUUAGGUUUAGUAGUUUUUCUUAUCCAUUUGAUCCACAAGAGGCUGAGUCAAGGAAAGGAAAAUCAACUCAUUCCCACAGUAAUUGAUGAACAGCAUGAAAGGGUUUCAUAUCAAGCAUUAGCAAAUGGGACUGACCAUUUUUCGGAGGUUAAUCUGCUCGGACAAGGAAGCUAUGGUGCAGUUUAUAAGUGCACUUUACAUGACAAGGGAAUUGCCGCAGCUGUAAAGGUAUUCAAUGUGUGGCAAUCUGGGUCUACUAGAAGUUUUGUGGCUGAAUGUGAGGCACUGCGAAGGGUGCGCCACCGAUGUCUCAUAAAGAUCAUCACCUGUUGCUUAAGCAUUGAUCACCAAGGCCAAGAAUUCAAGGCACUGGUUUUUGAGUUCAUGCCCAAUGGUAACCUAAAUGAUUGGCUGCAUCCAGCAUCAAAAAUACAGAGUCUGAGCAAUACGCUCAGCUUGGCUCAUAGACUGGACAUUGCGGUAGAUAUCAUGGAUGCUCUGGAUUAUCUUCACAAUCAGUGUCAACCGCCUAUUAUCCAUUGUGAUCUCAAACCAAGUAACAUCCUCCUUGCCGAAGAUAUGAGUGCUCGGGUUGGAGAUUUCGGCAUAUCAAAAAUCCUUCCUGAUGACACUAGCAAAACUAUGCUGAAUUCGGUUAGCUUCACUGGACUAAGAGGUUCCAUUGGAUAUGUCGCUCCAGGUAACAGAAACUAACACUGAUAUUGCUAUGUUCAGUUUUUAACUUCCAUUUUGCCAAGUCCAGUUAUCUCGGCAUGAAUCGUUCGUAAGUAGCUUGCCAUGAAUCCACUGACCAAAUAGUGUCUGAAAUCUGAAUUGACUGCAGAGUACGGCGAGGGUCGCGCCGUCUCAACUCUUGGAGAUGUUUACAGCCUCGGCAUACUGUUGCUUGAGAUAUUCACCGGGAUGAGCCCUACUGACGACAUAUUCAAAGGCUCCUUGGACCUUCAUAAGUUCGCCGAGGCCGCUCUUCCCGACAGAGCCUUGGAGGUAGCCGACCCGGCAAUCUGGCUUCAUGAAGAAGCAAAGGGGGAAGACCCGGCCACGGUGAGAAGCAGAAGCGAGAGGUGCUUGGCUUCAGUGGUCGGGCUUGGCGUGUCCUGCUCAAAGCAGCUGCCAAGGGAGCGGACGGCGAUGCGGGAUGCUGCCGCUGAGAUGCGUGCGAUCAGAGAUGCCUUCCUGGUUCAAUGUGCAACAGAGACUUGGCCUGCAGUCGGCACCACCGGCCUUGGAAGUGCAGACAGUUGAAUGGUGGACGGAGCUACGGUCUCUUGACGCACCAAGGAGCACCGGACUAGCAACUCUGCAACUAACAGAGUGGAAAAAGCGCCCCUUAAUGAAAAGAAAAACAGCCGGUGCAAGGCUUUAUACAAAGAAUGUGACAGCCACUGCGUGUAUCCGAGAGCCUUAUCUAAUCUACCGAGGAUUGUUGUGUAUGGAUGCGUAUAGAUUAUGCACGGACUCCUCUGUCCUAAAAUAAACGCACAUCUUGCUUCUUUAGCAGUCAAACUUCUAAGUUUAACUAAAAUUUAUAAAAAAAAUGUACUACUAUUUAUAAUGUAUAAUAAAUAUCAUUAGAUUGAGCAUUGGGUAUACUUUCCUAAUACAUUUAUUUGAAGAUGCAAAUGUUGAUACUAUUUUCUAUAUUCUUAGUCAAAUUUAAAAAUAUUUGACUCAUCGAGAAGCGAGAUGUGUGUUUAUUUUGGGACGAAAGGAGUACCCGUCACCGGGAUCAGUCACGAUAUAAGAUUAGUCACGAUAUAAGUAGGGAUUAGCAAGCACCAAAACCCCAUUCACUGCCCAUCGAUCGCUCAAAUAAAAGAAACCAUUGCAUAUGGUAGCGAUGCGCUCGCGGACCUUUCUCCAACCUUUCUGCUCUCGCGGGUCUUGAACUUGCAUGGAACAGUUUUAGUAAAGCUGCCUCCAACUUUAGGGAGGUUGCCAAGGUUCAUUUACCUGUCCUUAAGUGGCAAUAAGUUAGGAUCGAAUGAUAAGGACGGAUUGGAAUUCAUCACCAUGCUGGCAAACUUCAGCCAGCUUCAUCAACUGGCUUUUGACAAUAAUUCAUUCAUCGGCGAACUUCCUAGCUCAAUUGCAAAUCUAUCGACAACACACCAAUUACUCUAUAUACGAUACAAUUGGAUUUCGGGAUUUAUUCCAUCCAGCAUAGGUAAUUUGCUUGGUCUAGAACUGCUUACGUUGGCAAAUACUUUCAUAUCCGGAAUGAUUGCAGAUAGCAUUGGUCGCCUAGAAGACAUGUCCGUGUUAGGCAUUUACUACGCUAGCUUGUCAGGUAUCAUACCUUCGUCACAAGGAAAGCUUACACAGUUGAAAACUCUCUAUGCGUACGAUAGCAACUUGGAGGGUUCAUUUCCAGCAAGCUGGGGGAACUUAAAGAAUCUUUUUGUUCUUAAUCUCUCAACGAAAGUGUGUAACCCGCUAAAGGUUCAUGUCAAAGCAGAGCAUAAAUCUCUUUCAAAACUGCAAAACUAUCAUAAAGCAGAUCAGUCUGAGGGCCAGCCUAUGCCCGCCUCCCUUCUUGCCCUUUUGGUAAGAUUACCCCAAACUAGAGUCUAUAAUUAAUUAGCUAAGACUAGAGCCACGCAGUUCUUGUGGUUGUACUGUUUUCCUGAGUGGUCGCUCCAUGUUCCAAUUAAGCAUGAUGAUCUUGUAUUAAUAAAAGGUAUAUCAUAAAUAAAACAAGUUUAAUCAUUGAGUUCAUUAAAACCAUCACAAUCCAAGGUAUUGCAACUAAGCAUAUCUACCUAAAAAAAGGUAAAACCUAGGUUGACAAGGAAUGAUCAUAAAAACUAGGUAAACUUUAAUAGGACCCAUCAAUAUUAAAUGUAGAGUAAUGCAAAAGUGAUUAAAUAUAGUUUUUGGGAUAAAAGUAUAAGGACACACGUGCCUUUCUCCAAAGAAUAGCUGCUCAGAUUAUCUUCAGCUCUUGUUCCUCAAAGCUCUCGAACAAUGUUCCUUCUACUUGCAUCAAUCAUCGGCACAAGCAUACCAAGCAAACAACAAUCACAACUAAGAACAAUACAUCAAUCAAUGGAAAGCUUUAAAAGAGCGUACAAAAGGAUAAGGCUUGAAUCUAAGGUCACGCGAAUGCAAGAAACGCUGGGAACGAAACUAUGGUUGAAAAGACAAAGUUAUCGAGAGAUUUGAAUUAUAAAAGAAAGAGAAAAGCCUAUGUGCUUCAUAUAUUUUAAUAAAAUAAUGUAAAGAUAUUUUAGAGUAACAUCCUUAGCAUGUUCUAGUUAUGUAUGAAAAGACAAUGUAGACCUUAGUCAAAUUUUAUUUAUAAACAUUCAAGUACAAUUUAUGCAAAUUAAAAAUUUAAUUUGAAAAUAAAGUAUAUGUAAACAUCUAAGCGCAUAGCUUUAUAAUUUAGGUUGAACUAACCAAAUAUAAUUCGAAAACACAUUUAUAUUUAUAUUAAAUCAAAUUAACAUAUAAUUAUGAAAAAUCGAGAUAUAACUUAUGUAGCUUUUAUUUAGAAAACAAAUUGAAUAAACAUUUUAAUUAAAGAAUACAUGUUUAACAUGCAUUAAUUAGAUUAAUAUUAAAUUUAUUUUAAAAACAUGCAUGAUGGAAAGAUCGGCACUAACGUGUAAUUUGUGUUAUCACGAACCUAACUCAACAAGAACAGAUAUAAACGGAGCUGUAACGAGGAGUCUAUGGGUUAAACAAGGUUGAACGGAAGGUUAUUGGGGCUAGCAAGGAAGAUUUGCAAGACACUGGAAUAGAGCUCACCAUUAGGUCAAAGCAUAGGGUUAGAUAUGUUAAAGUGCUCAAGUUAGACUUGGUUGCACGGAUCCAAUCUAAUCAGGGACAUGGAUGAAAAAAAACAAGACACAAGGAAAAACUAACUAUUUGUAGAGCUUUAUAGGGGCCUAUGCGCAAAAGCACCACAACUCAGCAUCCAUGGCGGACGGGCUCCUGGAUGGCAAAACCCUCGUGUCGGAUUUAUAAGCCUGGUAGUCCACCAAGGGGUUCCCCAAGUGGUUGAUUUGUAGGUGAGGGUGAUUGUGAAACCAAGAACUCGAAGGUGAUCGCGAGAACACGAAGGGACACGAAGGUUUUAGACAAGUUCGGACCUUCGGAGAGUAAUACCCUAUGUCCUAUAUGCUGGUUUGUAUUGCUUGAGAUUGAUCUAAUUGUUGCGAUACCCUCGGGGGUACCCUUGGCCGCCUUAUAUAGGCUGACGACCAAGAGUUAAAAGUCGGUUUGAAUCUAAUCUACUCGGUAGUUACAUGGAAAGUAAUCUGAGUUGGACUACAAUAUGUGUUCCAUGAUAUCUGUUCAGAUUUGAACUAUCUUGUUGCCUUGACUUGCACUCCAAGUAACUUCAUGUCCUCGGCCCGCACGCCCUGAUCGGGCAGGCCCUACUUGUUAGGUCCGACCAGUAUCCUGGCCGGUCGGGGCCCAUGGGGUACCCAUAUCCCUCAAGCCCCCAAGCAUUGUGUAGGCAAACAGGAACUUGAUGUCAUCAAAGUGAAACUUGAAAUGAAAUCGGGUGAAGCUACGAAGGCGUCAUGGCGACGGAGAGCUCAAAAAAAGAAAAUAUGAGCAAACGAAGAGCCAACGCGUAGAGCGAGGAUGAGUGCCGAGUUGAUGGAUGCUGGCAUCCAGCAGGUCGAAGCGAAGGUUACGGAGGGCGUCGCAAGACGCACUCUGUAGGAGUAGCCCCGGAGCAUUGAAACAAUUAAGAUAAUCAAUACAAUGGUAAAAGAGGAAAAAAUUGUCCCCUGAAGCAGAUCCUUGUGCCCGAACACAAGGAUGGACGCAGCCACGGAGGCCCGCCAACCAGAAGUAGGCACCCAGACUCAAGGACGAGGACUGGUGGGACUGUGGAGCCAUGCCGACCUAAAAUAGGCAUAUAACCCCUAAGGACGAGGACUAGCGGAGCCGCGGAGGCAUGCUAACCUGAAAUAGGCACCCAGCCCCCGAGGAUGAGGACUGGCGGAGCCAUGAAGGCACGCCGACUUGAAAUAGGUGCCAAGCCCCCGAGGAUGAGGACCAGCAGAGCCACGAAGGCACUCUGACCAGAAUUAGGCGUCCAGCCCCCGGGCAUGAGUGCGAGGAUUGGCGGAAGCACAUCGAGUUGCCUCCCUUCCCGGGCUCAGGCAGAGAGAUUGGUCGGGUGACGGGAGGCACACCAAGUCAUCAAUGGUGCCCAGCCGCCGAGCCUAGGAGCCGGACGAGUUGCAGAAGCAUGGCAAGUCACCUCCCGCCCCGAGCCAGAGAGGUCGGCCGGGCGACAGGAGGCACGCCGAGUCAUCUACGGUGCCCAGCCCCCGAGACUUGGAGCCGGCUGAGCCACAGAAGCAUGCCAAGCCGCCUCCCGCCCUGAGCCAGAGAGGUCGUUUGGGCGACGAGAGGCACGUCGAGUCGUCUGCGGCGCCUAGCCCUCGAGCUUGGGAGCCAGACGAGCCACAGAAGCAUGCCAAGUCGCCUCCUGUCCCGUGCUAGAGAGGUCGGCCGGGUGAUGGGAGGCACGCUGAGUAGUUUUUGAGCUGUAAAAGAACAAUACAAUCAUUAUGUAGCAUAAUGUAGAUCAUUUAAUCAUUGAACAACUCGGAAGUUUAAUUCGCUGUAGAAGUAAACUCUUGCGCAUCCUGCUCUUGUAGGCCAAGUAAUUUCCCUAGGUAGUUAUCUUGUUACGUUUAAGCACCUAGCCCUACUGACCACUGUUCACGGAGAGGAUGGUUUAUCUUAGGCUAUAGCGCUGGGGCUGACCCGAUGCUCGCAUAUAGGAACGCGCAGGAUGAGUCAAGGUUUCACGGAUUGAGGCGUGUGCUACCCGAGUACUUUAGCAACCGUUAACAGGGAUGGACAAGUCGCAAAGCAACCGGAACUGUGCAGAAAAGUACCAGCAUGAGUUGGGCACCCAUGGGGUGUAGCCCCCGGUCGCCCGUGUAGUGGACGGACCAAGCUGUAUAAGCAGUUAGGGUGCGACCAAGGUGGUCGGCGAAAGUCACGGAGAUAUAGGAGAGCCGAGGCGGUCAGCGAAAGUCACGACAACAUGGAGGAGCCGAGGCUUAUGUAGGUAUAUGGAAGCGGUAAAAUAUUUUAUUGUAAAUAAUACUUAGCUUGAUUCGUGGUCGAGUCAAAGAACCCGCGUGUCAUCUUCGCGUUUAGUCUUAGAAGCCCCUGAGCGUGGUCGGCGGACAGUUGUUGGUGAAGCAAACUAGUCGGGCUCCAUGCCCAACUAAUUCGUGUCGAGUUCGAGUUGUUGGAGUUGUCAGCAGCAGGUUUGUGGUUGCGAUUGUGGUAUGCUGUUGCCAAGUCGAUGCAGCCAUCGGGUCGUGUCCGGCUGGCCGCUACGCUCACAGUACAACAUGUCUGGGUUGUGCUGCCAAACCAAGGGUGCAUGUACAUCUUUUCGAACCUCGUAAGGAAGCCCUCACGUAUUAAGGAAAUCUAUACCUAAUAUUAAAGCUCUCGCAGCGUGCGCCUAUGCCACGUGCGGUGCGGACGGGUGUGCCAGCUGCGGCUGCGAGCUCCUCACUGCGGCAGGGACCAGGUCGAGCAGCGACAGUGAUGACGAAGAGGAGUAGUCCGUGUCUGCGUGCCGUGCCAUCAUCGCCGGGCAAGGUGUGGCGGCGGCGGAGGGGGAGAGUGAGUACAUCGACGUGCAGCGGUGGCCGUGGGGCAGGUGGGCGGCAGAGAUCCGCGACCCGCACCACACCGUGCGCAAGUGGCUCGACACCUUUGACACAGCUAAGGAUGCCACACACACCUACAACAUCACCGAUGUUGAGUUUCGAGGCCACUGCACCAAGAUCAACUUCCCCGACGACACGGCCCCUGCGCCCGCACCUUCCUGGGUGCCGACCUCGACAUACUACCGCCACGACCACCUGCCGCUGCCGCUGCCCGAGAGCCUACACGAGACCUGCGGGGCGAACGCAUCCUCGUCGGUGGAUGUGGCUCUUGCGGUAGCGGCGUCGGCCGAGCAGCACGGCACGAGGCUGGUGCCAAAGGAGCAGGACAUCUGGGACAGGCUGAACGAGUUCAUGAUGAUGGAUGACAGUAGCUUUUGGUCACCCAUGCUAUGAUCGUCACAUUCUCCUCCAUUCUCCUCUUGUUUUCACUUUCGUUGCUUAGCGGAUAAUGGUGGUCAGCUGGCCUCUGGUCUGUCGUCAAUCACCAGCCAUCCAUCGCUUUUAUAUGGUUUUACACUAGCUUUUGGGCUUUGACCACGCCCUCCACACCCAUACGAAACGACUAGGUAGAGUGAUGUUGAUCUACUGCUUGCUGCGCGCUAGGGCGGGCAGCUACUCACUCGGGCUAGAUGCCCUACCCACCACCUGGACCUAAGAGGUGAAGGAGAGAGGAGGGAGGGGGAAGGAAACAAGGAACCGAGUGCCUCUUUGCAGUCAACCAAGUAGAGCCAUAUGCCAGCGAAGGCAUGGCGCCAGCGGGGGGUGGGGGGGGCGCAGCGGCAGUCGGCAGGCAACACAAACAGGGGGUGGAGGUCGGGACCUCACAUCCCCCUCUCAAUGAUGUCCAUCCCCUUCAGAUCCAGAACUAAAGCCUCCACAUCUAGCAAUUGGGGGCUCGAUUUUGCACUUGAUUGGAACGAUUUGGAGUGGAUUAUAGAAGGGAAGUGGAUGGAAACGAGAAGAAGAGGAAAACACACUCCUGCUCAUGGCGGCCAGAGGCGCGGUGGCCUAGCGCUCGAAGCAGGAAUGAGGCUAGGCACGGGAAGGACGAGCGUUUGCCUGGGCGACGACGAGGAUGGCAAGAUGCAUAGCGCCUGGACGAUGGCGAAGAUAGGGCACGAUGCGGGUGGCGCCGACGGACGAAGUGGCAUCGACUAGCUAGAUGACGAUGAGUACGGGGGAAUCGAAUGAAUGGAUAGAGCGGAGGUUGAGCGGUGAUUUUUUUUAUUUCCAUGUGUGGGUCCAUGUAAUAAACAGAUGGCAUCAAACCACCCACAAAUAUCUUCUACUACUGUACUGGGAUAACGCAUCAACAUAUGGUGAAGCGAAAUCAACAUAUUAGGAAUAAGCGAAUAAUAAUGUGAGAGUAAGUAAGGACUUGUAGCAACGUACAUGUAUUUCUGCUCGUAAGAAAAAAAAUUGUUAGCUGCCGUAGUAAGCACCAAGCAACGUAGGAGAUCUACUGGAUGGAAUAGAUUAAAUAAUAAAGGGAAGGGAGAAUUGUUCCUUUUUUUUUUGGCAGAUCCGAUGUGUCUGCAUGCAACAAGUUGAGGUCGACGUGUUGUGCUAAAUCAACCGGAUCAGACCGGGGCCGGAUCAGGCGAGCUUGGCUGUGGCCGGGAUGAGGCCAAUAAGGGUGUCGCCCUUGACCUUGGCCUCCUGCGCCUCGCGGAUCUUCUACAUCUGGAGCAUCUGCUCCAUGAUGAGCUCGUACUGGCACUUCUUGUAGGCGUGGCGCUCGGGCUCGCACUUCCAGCGGAGGUAGAACUCGGAGGUGCACGCACUGGUCGUGGUAGGCGAGCGGCACCCAGGCCUCCGCCAUCUCCACCUGCGUGACGAUCUGGGGCUUCGAGGAGCCGAACUGAAUGCCGGCCAUUGCCACCGCCUCCAUCUGUCACUUUCUUGGCCUCUCUCUUGCCGGCGAGGUCGUUCCGUUGAUAGAUGGGUGCUGCGGGUUUGGUGCGGCGUGGGUGGGUGGGGUGCAGCAAGGACGUGAGGAACCCUCUCGGAGAGAGAGAUUGCUGACCUACUGGGUAAAUGGUGUGAUGAUCCUUUGAUAUAGACCUUGCUCCGCCGGAGUAAAUUCGACAGAUGCCAAGCUAGCGGCGGGCAUUGAGUCAAAGUCCAUCGGCAUGCUCCUGAAGUGGAGCUGGAUCGGAUUGGCGAGGAAGUCCUUCAUGCUCUUGGGGAAAACAAUGUCGGGGCGGGAUGCCAUCGAGCUCGCUAGGGAGGAUCUUACAAUCAUCCCUACCUAGCGCGCCAACUGUUGGAUUUAUAAGCCCGGUAGUCCACCAGGGGUUACCCAAGUAGUUGAUUUAUAGGUGAGGGCAAUUGCAAAAUCAAGAACUCGAAGGUGAUCGCGAAAACACGAAGGGACACGAAGGUUUUAGAUAGGUUCGGGCCUCCGGAGAGUAAUACACUAUGUCCUGCAUGCUGAUUUGUAUUGCUUGAGAUUGAUAUGAUUGUUGGGAUACCCUCGGGGGUGCCCUUGGCCGCUUUAUAUAGGCUGACGACCAAGAGUUACAAGUCGGUUUGAAUCUAAUCUACUCGGUAGUUACAUGGAAAGUAAUAUGAGUCAGACUACAAUACGCGUUCCAUGAUAUCCAGGCAGAUUUGAAUUGUCUUGUUGCUUUGACGUGCACUCCAAGUAACUUCAUGUCCUCGACCCGCACGCCUUGGUCGGGUGGGCCCUACUUGUCAGGUCUGACCAGUAUCUUGAGGUACCCAUAUCUCUCACCUUGGUGCUCUGGCGAUUAGGGUCAGUGGCGAGGAUGGGGAUUGGAAGAGGAGAUCGAGGGGACUUUAUGGAGAUGCUCACCGGCGACGAGGCGGACGGAUUCUGGCUAGUAUUUGGCUGGCGGUGGAAGAACACGACAGCUGGCUCAAGUCUUCGUGAGUGAUGGUACUCCGGCGGUGGAGCGACGACGACGACUAGUGGCAGAGCUGCUCCUCGAUGUCACGGAGCUCCCUAAGGCUCUAGCUUGCUCCGAUGGUCGACGGGCACAGCGAAUCGGCCAGAGAAGGACGGCAGUGGCUCCUAGCUCUGGCGGAUGUGGGGGAUGGCAGCGCUCGUGCAAGCUAGGAAGAGCGGCGGUGUGAGGCAGGGCAAUAGCAGGGGCACGAUCUCGACUUUUAUAUGUGCGUGGGUCCGCGCCUGCCUUGGCACGCAUGCCGAGGUUCGGCGGUGGCGAUGCCCAAGUGCAGCUACGCUUGGCCUCGACCCGCUGGUGGUCGAUGGGCCUAGCGGGCCUAGCCGAGCCAUCAACUGGGCCGGGUCAGUGCAGGUUAGUUGGAGAGGGUCGGGCCCCAAAGACUUGGCUCGAUCGAUUAGGAUUUUUCUUUUUUUCAGAAAUGAUUUCUCGUGAAAGAAAAAUCCAGAAAAAUUCUAGAUAAUUAAUUUAAACAAUGAAAAAACUCUAAAAAUCCAAAAAUUUCAGGAAAAAUCACCUCUAGUUGGGGACAUGAGGAGUCCAAAUAAAAUACUUGGAGCUCGUGAAAAGGAUUCUAGAACCUUCCAAAAAUUGGAUUUAGCUUUAGAAAAAAAUGAGAAUAAAUCUUAGAAAAAUCUGAAAAUUCUCAUAAGAACCUAAUCAGCAUCUAAACGCAAUCCAAAACCUUUGCACUUAUGAAAUACCAAGAUGCAUUGGUGUGAAUGCAACCCAUACACAAUCAUUAUAUUUAAUUCAGAAAAACCCUAAAUUGUUUUCCUAUACUAAAUUUCCUGUCAAGAAAAUAAAUGUUGGAAAAAUUUUAAAAUUGUGAAAAAAUUAUUGUUUUAUUAUUCUUUUUAAUCACAUUCUGAAAUUUCAAAAAUUUUAAGGUGAGGCAGAUACCCUCAGGUUUACAGAAUUUGACAUCCAUGUGCAAAUUGGAUCUAUCCUUCCAUGAUCUGCAAGGUGAAGUGCCAAAAGUUUUUUUUUUGGCAAAUGCAACUUACAUGUUGAUUUAUGGAAAUGAUCAGCUUUGUGGUGGAAAUACCUCAACUUCAUUUAGCUCCAUGCUCCAUGUCCAGUGCAAAAAAGAAAAAAAAGUAAAUUUGUCGAAAACCCUUGUGAUCACCCUAACAUCAAUCAGUGCAGUUGUAUUCUCAGUUUCAGUACUUACUGUAAUUGUGUUGAUCUGUAAGAAGCUUAGGAAAAGGCACGAAAGUCAACUCAUAUCCACAACUGAGGAACGGUAUGAAAGAGUUUCUUAUCAUGCUUUGUCAAAUGGGACCAAUGGAUUUUCAGAGGACAAUUUACUUGGACAAGGAAGCUAUGGCAUGGUUUAUAAAUGUACUUUACAUGACCAGGGCACUACAGUAGGCUACUGUAAAGGUGUUUAACACACAACAAUCUGGGACUUCUAGAAGUUUUGUCGCUGAAUGCGAGGCACUCAGAAGGGUGCGUCCUCGUUGUCUCGUAAAGAUCAUCACUUGUUGCUCAAGCAUCAAUCACCAGGGUCAAGAGUUUAAGGCACUAGUUUUUGAGCUCAUGCCAAAUGGUAGCCUAAAUGGUUGGCUUCACCCAGAGUCUGACACACUUACCCCGACAAAUACUCUUAGCCUUGAACAAAGGCUACACAUUGCUGUCGAUAUCCUGGAUGCUUUGGACUAUCUUCAUAAUCACUGUCAGCCAUCAAUCAUUCAUUGCGAUCUCAAGCCAAGCAACAUCUUUCUUGCGGAGGACAUGAGUGAGUGCCCGAGUUGGAGGUUUUGGCAUACGAAGAAUCCUUCCAGAAAGUGCUAGUAAAACCCUGCAAAAUUCGAAUAGCACAACUGGAAUAAGAGGCACCAUUGGUUAUGUUGCACCAGGUAAUGAAAGAGAUAUUUUUGGUAUUUGUAAAAUGUUCUUGGUUCUUACGUAUACAUGACCUGCUGACCUUUGGUUUUUUUCCCCAAUCAGAGUACGGUGAAGGUUCUUCUGUCUCAACUCAAGGUGAUGUUUAUAGCCUCGGCAUAUUGCUGCUUGAGAUGUUUACUGGAAGGAACCCAACAGAUGAGAUAUUCAAUGAUUCUUUGGAUUUGCACAAGUUUUCAGAGAAUGCUCUUCCAGAGAGAAUAUGGGAUAUAGUUGAUCCGACAAUACGGAUGCACACAGAUGCCUAUAACAGCACUAUAAGAAGUGGAAUUAAGAAUUGCUUGGUUUCUGUUGUUUCUCUUGGAAUAUCAUGCUCGGAGAAACAACCUAGGGAGCGGAUCCCGAUUCUGGAUGCAGCCAUUGAGAUGCACGCUAUUAGAGAUUCGUAUCUCAAGUUUGCCAGAUCUCUUUUGGUGGAGCAUGGAGUAGUAGCAACAACUCACAGUGAUUUUCCACAACAGUGAAUACAUAGGACUGAAAAUGCGCAAGAUGUCUGCAGGUGAUCAGUUUACCUGAAAUAACUGAAGAUGUAUGAAGCUUCAGCUUUAUAAUUUGUCCAUGCAUUUGUUUGCAUCAGAUAUAUGGAAGUAUAAAAUAAGUUUAGAAAAUGUUUCAAAAUUGAUUAGAUCCAGAGGUUUUAGUUGUCGUUUGUAUGACACAUUUUUGUAGAGAAUUCAGUAAUACGUAUGAUUCAUAAUACAAUCAAUGCUCUGCAAAUUUCAGAUAGCACAAUUGGAAUAAAAAGCUCAUUCCUUGAUUAUGUUGCUCUAGGUAACUCAACUUAUUGUGAUGUUCAGUGUAGAUUUCUCCAUGGUCCAAACGACCUUUGUGAUCAGUUAUGUUUAUGCAUUUUGUAGAAUUGUAAAGUCUUUCCCUAACCUGCUGACAUAUUAGCCGGAGCAGAGCACUUUGCCGUUCUGUACCACUCGCCUCUAGGAGGCGCUUGCCGCUUGGUGGCUGCCGUGGCGACCGGCGGCAUCCGUACCUGCUAUGUCGGAGAUGGGUGGAGCUGCUCUGCUCUGCCGGUACGAGCUCACUCACGCGGUGAAUGGCGCGCGCCUCUAAGGUCCCGUCAGCUGCAGGUGCAGAUGGGUGGAGAGCGUAGCAGCGCUAGGUCUUCAGAAGAUGUUGGGUGGGCUGGAUGGGGCUUUGCGGCUCUGAAUGCUGAGGCGGGCAGGGACGACGGAGCUGGACGCGUGGGGGAGGAGACGAUGGGCAUUUCUGAUAAUAGUUGGAUCGCGAUCCAAAUUAGGGGGCUAUUUACAAAUAAUAGGAGGUAUUCCGUAAAUAUUCGGAUCGCGAUCAUUAAUCGCGAUCCAAACGAGGGGUUAAUUGAAAUUAUGAUGGGGUGUCUUUUGAAAUUCCGGAUCGCGAUCCCAUCCUCCGCCGCGGCUCGCCGGAGCGCCGCCAGACGCCGGCCAUCCCUUGGGGUACCUCUUCUUCCUUCCGCCUGUCGGAGCCCUAAGACGCGGUCGGUGUUUGAUCUGACAAGGAACCUUGAAGUCCGGACUAACUGAAGAAGACAGACAUGAUGCUGACCUGGAAGACGACGGCCUCGCCAUGGCCGGAUGCGGCGCGGUGGAAGGACAGUGUGGUGGAGGAGCGGAUGUUGUCCGACGUGAACUCACCAGCGGCGUGGUCCACCACAUUCCGUCGACGGGCGGCGCACUUGCUGUCGCCUGUCGGCUACUUCCAGGCCGUAGCUGAGCUUCAGAGUUCAGACAGGGUGCUUGUGCUUGCAACAAGUUCAGAACGAUGUCAUUGCUUUGAUGCAGAGGAUGGAGCAAACCGGUUGCAAAUUGGAUUCUGAUACAUAUAACUUAAUAAUGAACCUUUAUGUCGAUUGGAAAUAUGAGAAGGGGUGCACCAAAUAUGGGAUGAGAUGGAGAGGAGUGGAUCAGGCCCAGAUCAACGAUCAUUUACUAUUAUGGUUCAUGGUCUUCAUUCCCAAGGAAAGCUUGAUGAGGCUCAACAAUGAAGUCAAGAGGGUUGAUCCCUGAACCAGGGACCAAGAUACUGGUGAAAGCUAUACAUAUGAAGAAAGAUGGGGCUGUCACAGAAGAUCAGUCUGCAAAUAUGACAGGGAAGAAUCUAAAACUGGAUCCACGAUCUAGACUAUUCCAUGUUCAUAAAUAGUUUGCUGUCAGAUCAUACUUCUAUAACCUGAACAGAGGAUUGCUGGGCAAGUAUUAUGUGUCAACAGAAUCUCUUCUACCAGUGUUCAGAUCACAAUGGCCACACCUUGGGCUACAAUAAAUCAUCAGCAAAGUGUAUUGGCAUUUGGUAUCCCAGAAAGUUUUGCUCAGACUUUCAAUGCCAGGGUAUGCUUUUUAUGUCUGAUACGGAUCAAUUGCAAGUACUGUAUUACACCGCUCGUAUUAUGAAGGUUAUGUGAAAUAUGACAGAUGUUUGUUUAUUCAUCUGUUAUGCAUGGCUGUGUCUACUGUCUAGUUGUUGGCUUGUUGCCAACAUAUGCAGCAGCAGGUAGCUUCAGCCGCUCAGAAGCCCAAAUGAAGGAUGGCCCAGGCAGAAUAGCUAGUCUAGACCCAGAAAGCUUAGGACAUGUCUUGCCAGCCUGCAGUUUUGUACUCGUAGCGCCAACCAUCUCCGGGUUCUAGCCGGUUAUACAUGGUCUGGAAUGGGCAUCCGCUGAUGGAUUGAAACCUUGAACUGCUUCCGUGUUUGUCUUUUACCAUCUAUAUAGUAUGGUUAGUCAACGGCAUGCAGUACACCCAUGCAUAUGAUUGCAGUAGGAUGACAUGGCGCGACCAGAACCCUUCUUUUGCCAGUUUUAGAUUCUUAUACACGGCCAACUGACGCAGCAGGGAGUUCUCAACUCUGAUAUGGUUGAUGGAAAAACACUAUCACGGUGUCACCUAGCCGGUUGGAGGCCAACCUCUUACUAGGGACAGCAAUGGCCCUGUCCACUGUUUCGUGGCUGGUAUUAUUACCCCUAUGCAGUGAAUAUGACAUGUGGAUCUAUGUGUAUAUUAUGUCGCCAAAAGAACAUUAUAUGAACCGUUGAGCCACCUUUGAUUCUAUUAAUGUGUCAUGGUCAAUUGAUGUCAAACUCUAUUAUCUUCAAGUCUUAUUGUAUUGAUAAAAUCACGAUGCUGCUACUGCCAUUUUGAUGUUUAUAAAAGGGUAUUGAGAACCUGGUGGGUAUCCAUUGGAUGCGCAGGGUUGGGGGUGGGGAAAAAUGAGUGUAAAGGACAGGGUUGCAGUAUUUAGAAAGAUGGGGCUGCCACAGAAAAUAGUCUCCAAGUAUGGCAGGGAAGAAUCUAAAACUGAAUCCUUGAUCAAGACUGUCCCAUAUUCAUAAAUAGUUCACUGACAGAUCUUGCUUCCAUAUUCUGAACAGCUGAUGCUGGGCACAUAGGAGGUUAACCGGUCAGCGGAUCAAAGAAAAUCCACAAUGGCCUCAUCUUGGGUUAGAGACAAUCAUCGGUAAAGAAUCAUAUUGCCGGAUAAGGAUAUCUGUGAUUGGUGGGUGCAGAUCCAUGCUCAUUCAAGAAACACAUGAUUCUUUACGGAUGAUCAUCUCUCAGCACACCCUGCUGAUAAGGUUAUCUGAGAUUGGUGGGUGCAGAUCCUAGAAACAAGCUAGGGCUGAAUGCGCCGCUGUACUUGGAUGUUGUGGUGACACCGUAAUGAUUGUGUGUUUAAUGGAGUUUCCCAUAGUGACUAGCGUGCAGGCCGUCCUCGUAUUUGAGAAAAAAAUCAAUGGGCGAAAUGUUUUCACCUAGGUAAUUGUUGCAUUGUAUGAAUAGGCUUAGAUACCUGGUUAAAGUAUGGUGCGUGUACUGUGACACAAUAAGAUUUAUCAUAUCUAUCUAUGAAUUAGUGUUAAAUCUCCUACAUAAAUAUCUUCUCUUAUCUCACUUUAUGUAUAUAUAUGACACAGAAGCACAUGUAUAUCGGCAUUGUAGAGAUAGAGAUGAGAGAGAAGCUUAUCUGCUUUUUGGAGAUAAAUAUUCAAAUUACUAGUGUAUGAGAGGGAUAGAAUUAUUCUAUCAUAUUGUUUAUUCAACAUCUAAAAAGAUUCCAUGUUUAGCCAUCUAUAUCGGCGUUGUAGAGAGAGAGACUAGUGUUCAUCUGGUUGGAAGGAUGAGAGAGAGAGAGGAGAGAGUUUGGAUGAGAUAGAGAGAUAGUGUUCAGCUGGUUGGAAGGAUGAGAGAGAGAGAGAGGAGAGUUUGGAUGAUAGAGAGAUUAGUGUUCACUUGGUUGGAAGGAUGAGAGGGAGAUGAGAGAGUUCGGAUGAGGAGGUAGAGAGUUCGGAAGAGAGAGAGAGGUGAGAGUUCGGAUGAGAGGUGUGAGAGAGGUGAGAGUUCGGAUGAGAGAUAAAGUAGCUUAUAAGGAAGAGAGAGAGAAAGCGGUAUUCAGCUGGAUGGUGGAGACUUCAUAUAUUACUAAUAAUGCAUCCAAACAGCAUUUGAAAUUUAAUUCUAAGAAAAACUUUCUCGGUACAUCAAAACAAGAAAAAUCAAUUGAAUCAAAUUCUACGGAAUCCAUUUCCUAUGAAAUCUAAUUGCUAGAAUAUGAUUCAUGGAAUGAGUUCCAAUUCUAGAGAUCCAAACGGGCCCUAAGAGAAUUGUAGUGAUCAACUCCCAAGUUGCAAUAUAUUCUAGGAAAUAGGUGGUUAUGAGGAUGAUACCUGCAGACAAUACUUUUAAUCCCUCAAUUCUUACAGAGAAUUGCACAAUCAACUGCAUUUUCAUUUGUGCCACGCUGCUCAGCUAUAAAAAACGGGGCAAAUCGACCAAAAUAAAUGAAUAAACCACAUGGUUUAGACUGGUGGCAUAUGUAUGUCUGAUGAGUUUAGAAUCCCAACAGACCUCUGUUUGCUUAUCCAACAGGAGGGAAAAAGUUUACUUACUAAAUCAGCUUUGCAUGUCAGGCUGCAAUUGUUAGAGAGUAGAAUUGGGUAAUUUGUGAACAUAAUUGAAUCAAAGUUUUGUCUCAGACUAGUAAUAGAAAAUGGUGAUGCUCCAUAGCUAGAACAACACGUUCCUACACUAGUUUAAAAAUUCCCCUGAAAUUGGGAACAAUGGUCAAGCCCAAACCAUACUUGGAACUUGGAAGGCCGCUGGCGGAUGUCAAAGUCAAAAACAGAAGCAGACAGCGACGUCUCACCAGAUCACGAAUCAGAUGCGAUGCAUAUACAUGUUGCAGGCAUUAGCACGCAUCCCUUAGGAUUAAACAAUUCAGCAAGUAGCUCCCCUGCUGACCAAGAAAAGCAAGCUCUGUCUCGCAGCAAGCUCUUCAAUACGCUCCAGCCCAGCUCUACCAUGGCAUUGGCAAUGCGCGUCAUGAGCUUGCUUCCUGCCACCAUCGCCGUGAUGAUCGCAGCGGCCUCCUGGGGAGCGCACGGCGGUGCCAGCGACGAGGCCAGCGCGCUGCUUGCUUUCAAGGCUGAGCUCGCCGGCAGCGGCUCCGGCAUGCUUGCAUCCUGGAAUGGCACCGCUGGCGUCUGCAGCUGGGAGGGCGUGGCGUGCACCAGCGGCCAGGUGGUGGCACUGAGCCUGCCCUCUUAUGGGUUCGCCGGAGCCCUCUCCCCGGCCAUUGGGAACCUCACUUUCCUGCGGACCCUGAACCUGAGUUCCAACUGGUUCCAGGGGGAGGUCCCAGCAAGCAUCGGCCGCCUAGCGCGUCUGCAGACGCUUGAUCUGAGCUACAAUGCGUUCUCUGGUACGCUUCCUUCCAACCUCAGUUCCUGUGUCAGCUUACUGCUGUUAGAUCUCAGCAGUAACCGGUUCCAUGGGCGUAUCCCUGUUGAGCUUGGAGACAAGCUAACAAGUCUUCAGAAGUUCUCACUGGGCAACAACAGCUUGACGGGUGCCAUGCCAGGAUUACUAGGUAACCUGUCAUCGCUGAACUACCUUGAUCUGAGAAAAAACCACCUCGAGGGUCCGAUCCCACAUGAACUCGGCAGCAUGGGCGGCCUGCAGGUCCUUUUACUCCAUGACAACAGACUCUCCGGUGUGCUUCCACACUCCCUGUACAAUCUGUCCUCACUGAAAAAGUUGGGGGUAGGAGACAACAUGCUGUCUGGAACCAUCCCUGCUGAUAUCGGCGAUAGGUUCCCCGGUAUGGAAGCUCUUGACUUUUCUAGCAACCGAUUCAGUGGAGCUAUCCCACCUUCGCUCGGCAACCUCUCUGCUCUCACAAAACUAAUCCUUCAAGAAAAUGGUUUUAUUGGAUAUGUGCCUUCUGCUUUGGGAAAGUUGCAAAGUCUUACUGCCCUUUUCUUGGGUGUUAACAGGCUAGGAGCAAACGACAGUCAAGGGUGGGAAUUCAUCACUUCACUGGCAAACAGCUCCCAGCUUCAGGUUCUUGUUCUCGGCAACAACUCUUUCAGCGGGCAACUGCCUAAUUCAGUCACAAACCUGUCAUCAACUCUGCAAGGUCUUUAUUUGGGAGACAAUAUGAUUUCUGGGAAUAUUCCAAUAAACAUCGGAAAUUUGGUUGGUCUUACAGUAUUUGUGAUGGGAAAUACUUCUGUAUCUGGACAGAUUCCAGAGAGCAUUGGUCAGCUAAGAAACUUGGGUGUGUUAGGCCUUUACAACACUAGCUUGUCAGGCCUCAUACCUUCGUCACUAGGAAAUCUUACACAGUUGAAUAGGCUUUAUGCAUACUAUGGAAACUUAGAGGGGCCAAUUCCAUCAAACUUGGGGAACUUAAAGAAUGUGUUUGUCUUUGAUCUCUCAACAAAUCGACUCAAUGGUUCAAUUCCUAUAGAGGUUUUAAAACUUCCUCAACUUUCCUGGUACUUAGACUUAUCAUAUAAUUCAUUAUCCGGGCCACUUCCAAUUGAGGUUGGUACCAUGGUGAAUCUUAACGAACUGAUUCUGUCUGGAAAUAAGUUGUCAGGCACCAUACCAGCUAGUGUUGGGAACUGUAUAUCGUUGGUACGGCUGCUGCUCGAUAACAACUUAUUAGAAGGAAGCAUACCUCAAUCUCUGAAGAACAUAAAAGGUCUUGCAUUACUGAACCUAACAAUGAAUAAGCUAUCUGGUAGUAUUCCUGAUGCCCUUGCUAGCAUUGGCCACCUGCAACAACUGUAUCUUGCACACAACAACUUGUCAGGUUCCAUCCCCAAAGUUCUACAGAAUUUGACAUUGUUGGCAAAACUGGAUUUGUCCUUCAAUGAUCUGCAAGGCGAAGUGCCAAAAGGGGGUCCUUUUGCAAAUGCAACUCACUUGUCAAUUGAUGGAAAUGAUGAGCUUUGUGGCGGAAACCCUCAACUUCAUUUAGCUCCGUGCUCCACAGCAGCUGCGGGGAAGAACAGAAGGCGAAUGUCAAGAUCACUUAUGGUCACCAUAGCGUCAAUCUGCGCACUUCUAUUCUUAGGUUUAGUAGUUUGUCUUAUCCAUUUGAUCCACAAGAGGCUCAGACAAGGAAACGAAAAUCAACUCAUUCCCACAGUAAUUGAUGAACAGCACGAAAGGGUUUCAUAUCAAGCAUUAGCAAAUGGGACUGACCAUUUUUCGCAGGUUAAUCUGCUCGGACAAGGAAGCUAUGGUGCAGUUUAUAAGUGCACUUUACAAGACAAGGGAAUUACCGCAGCUGUAAAGGUAUUCAACGUGUGGCAAUCUGGGUCUACUAGAAGUUUUGUGGCUGAAUGUGAGGCACUGCGAAGGGUGCGCCACCGAUGUCUCAUAAAGAUCAUCACCUGUUGCUUAAGCAUUGAUCACCAAGGCCAAGAAUUCAAGGCACUGGUUUUUGAGUUCAUGCCCAAUGGUAACCUAAAUGGUUGGCUGCAUCCAGCAUCCAAAAUACAGAGUCUGAGCAAUACGCUCAGCUUAGCUCAGAGACUGGACAUUGCGGUAGAUAUCAUGGAUGCUCUGGAUUAUCUUCACAAUCAGUGUCAACCGCCUAUUAUCCAUUGUGAUCUCAAACCAAGUAACAUCCUCCUUGCCGAAGAUAUGAGUGCUCGGGUUGGAGAUUUUGGCAUAUCAAAAAUCCUUCCUGAUGACACUAGCAAAACUCUGCUGAAUUCAGUUAGCUUCACUGGACUAAGAGGUUCCAUUGGAUAUGUCGCUCCAGGUAACAGAAACUAACACUAUUAUUGCUAUGUUUAGUUUUUAACUUCCAUUUUGCCAAGUCCAGUUAUCUCGGCAUGCACGUUGAUAAGUAGCUUGCCAUGAAUCCACUGACCAAAUAGUGUCUGAAAUCUGAAUUGACUGCAGAGUACGGCGAGGGUCGCGCUGUCUCAACUCUUGGAGAUGUUUACAGCCUCGGCAUACUGUUGCUUGAGAUGUUCACCGGGGUGAGCCCUACUGACGACAUGUUCAAAGACUCCUUGGACCUUCAUAAGUUCGCCGAGGCCGCUCUUCCCGACAGAGCCUUGGAGGUAGCCGACCCGGCAAUCUGGCUUCAUGAAGAAGCAAAGGGGGAAGACCCGGCCACGGUGAGAAGCAGAAGCGAGAGGUGCUUGGCUUCAGUGGUCGGGCUUGGCGUGUCCUGCUCAAAGCAGCUGCCAAGGGAGCGGACGGCGAUGCGGGAUGCUGCCGCUGAGAUGCGUGCGAUCAGAGAUGCCUUCCUGGUUCAAUGUGCAACAGAGACUUGGCCUGCAGUCGGCACCAGCGGCCUUGGAAGCACAGACACUUGAAUGGUGGACGGAGCUACGGUCUCUUGACGCACCAAGGAGCCACCGGACUAGCUGCUCUGCAACUAACAUAGUGGAGAAAAGAAAAACAGCUGGUGCAAGGCUUUAUACGGAGGGGUGUUUGGAUCCCCGGGCUAAAUUUUAGUUCCUGUCACAUUGUCCAUCGAAUAUUUCGAUACUAAUUAGGAGUAUUAAAUAUAGACUAUUUACAAAACCCAUUACAUAGAUGGAGGUUAAACGGCGAGACGAAUCUAUUAAGCCUAAUUAGUCCAUGAUUUGACAAUGUGCUGCUAUAGUAACCAUUUGCUAACGAUGGAUUAAUUAGGCUUAAUAAAUUCGUCUCACCGUUUAACCUCCAUCUGUGUAAUUAGUUUUAUAAUUAACUCAUAUUUAAUCCUCCUAAUUAGUCUCCGAAUAUUCGAUGUGACACGGACUAAACUUUAGCUCCAGGAUCCAAACAUCCCCCAAAGAAUGUGACAGCCACUGCGUGUAUCCGAGAGCCUUAUCUAAUCUACCAAUGAUUGUUGUGUAUGGAUGCAUAUAGAUUAUGCACGAACUCCCUCCGUCCCAAAAAAAUGUACUACUAUUUAUAAUGUAUAAUAAGUAUCAUUAGAUUAAGUAUUGAGUAUACUUUCCUAAUAUAUUUAUUUGAAGAUACAAAUGCUGAUACUAUUUUCUAUAUUCUUAGUCAAACUUAAAAACGUUGACUCCUCGAAAAGUGAGAUGUGUGUUUAUUUUGGGACGGAGGGAGUACCCGUCACGAGGAUUAGUCACGAUACAAGUAGGGAUUAGCAAGCACCAAAACCUCAUUCACUGCCCUUCGAUUGCUCAAAUAAAAGCAACCAUUGCAUAUGGUGGCGAUGCGCUUGCGGGCCUUUCUCCAACCUUCAUUCUCCAACCUCUCUGCUCUCGCGGGCCUUGAACUCGCAUGGAACAGUUUUAGUGGAAACGUACCCCAACUUUGAAGAGAUUGCAAAGCCUCAUUUUACCUAUCCUUAAGUGGCAAUAAGCUAGGAUCGAAUGAUAAGGACGGAUUGGAAUUCAUCACCAUGCUGGCAAACUGCAGCCAGCUCCAGCAACUGGCUUUUGACAAUAGUUCAUUCAUCGGGGAACUUCCUACUCAAUUGCAAAUCUAUCGACAACACUCCAAUUGCUCUGUAUAUGAAACAAUUGGAUUUCGGGAUUUAUUCCAUCCAGCAUCGGUAAUUUGGUUGGUCUAGAACUGCUUACGUUGGCAAAUACUUUCAUAUCCGGAGUGAUUCCAGAUAGCAUUGGUCGCCUAAAAGACACGUCCGUGUUAGGCGUUUACUACACUAGCUUGUCAGGCAUCAUACCUUGAUCACAAGGAAAUCUUACACAGUUGAAAGCUCUCUGUGCGUACGAUAUAGCAACUUGGAGGGUCCAAUUCCAGCAAGCUUGGGGAACUUAAAGAAUCUUUUUAUCCUUGAUCUCGGUUUCAGGUCGAAGCAGAGCAUAAACCUUUCUCAAGACUACGAAGUUACCAUAGAGCAUAUCAGUAUGAGGGCUAGGCUAUACCCUAUCAACACCUCCCCUCUUACCCUUUCGGUAAGAUUACCUCAAACUAUAGUCUUUAAUUAAUUAGCCAAGACCAGAGCCAUAUAGUUCCAAGUUUAAUCAUUGAGUUUAUUAAAACCAUCAUAACCCAAGGUAUUGCAACUAAGCAUAUCUACCCAACAAACAGGUAAAACCCAGGUUGACAAGGAAUGAUCAUAAAGAGAUUAGGUAAACCUUAAUAGGACCCAUCAAUAUUAGAUGUAGAGCAAUGCAAAAGUGAUUAAAUAUAGUUAUUGAGAUAAAAGCACAAGGACACACUUGCCUUUCUCCAAAGAAUAGCUGCUCAGAUUAUCUUCAGCUCUUGUUCCUUAAAGCUCUCGAACAACGUUCCUUCUACUUGCAUCAAUCAUCGGCACAAGCAUACAAAGCAAACAACAAUCAUAACUAAGAACAAUACAUCAAUCAUAGUAAAGCUUUAAAAGAGCGUACUAAAGGAUAAGGCUUGAAUCUAAGGUCAUGCUAACACAAGAAACGCUGGGAACGAAACUAUGGUUGAAAAGACAAAGCUAUCGAGAGAUUUGAAUUAUAAAAGAAAGAGAAAAGCCUAUGUGCUUCAUAUAUUUUAAUAAAGAAAAGAAUGUAAAUAUAUUUUAGAGAAACAUCCUUAGAAGGUUAUAUUUAUAUAUGAAAAGACGAUGUAGAACUUAGUCAAAUUUUAUUUAUAAAUAUUCAAGUAAACAUUUAAUUUGAAAAUAAAGUAUAUGUAAACAUCAAGGCGCAUAGCUUUAUGAUUCAGGUUGAACUGACCAAAUAUAAUUCAAAAACACAUUUAUAUUUAUAUUAGUCAAAUUAACAUAUAAUUAUGAAAACCCAAGAUGUAACUUAUGUAGCUUUUAUUUAGAAAACAAAUUGAAUAAACAUUAAUCAAUUUAAGUUUAAUUAUGAACCACCGUGGUGCAUCUCUAAUUCGCUUUUAAUUGAAAGAGUUAUUUAAAUAAGCAUUAAGAACUAAAUUAACAUUUAUUAUGAAAAGCGGUUAUAACACUAAGUAGCUUUUAAUUAAAGAAGACAUGUUUAACAUGCAUUAAUCAGAUUAAUAUUAAAUUUAUUUUAAAACAUGCAUGAUGGAAAGAUCACUACUAACAUGUAAUUUGUGUUAUCACGAACCUAAGAAUGGAUAUAAACGGAGCUGUAACGAGGAGUCCAUGGGUUAAACAAGGAUGCAGGGCCUAAUCGCGAUUAAUGAAAGGUUAUUGGGGCUAGCGAGGAAGAUUUGCAAGACAUUGGAAUAGAGCUCACCAUUAGGUCAAAGCAUAGGGUUACAUCUGUUAAAGUACGCAGGUUGGACUUGGUUGCACGGAUCCAAUAUAAUCAGGGACAUGGAUGAAAAUAAAUAAGACACAAGGAAAAACUAACUAUUUAAAGAGCUUCCAGGGGCCUAUGCACAAAAGCACCAUAGCUCAGCAUCCGGACGGGCUCCUAGACGGCAAAAUCAUCAUGUCAGAUUUAUAAGCCCAGCAAUCCACCAGAGGGUUACCCAAGUGGUUGAUUUGUAGGUGAGGGUGAUUGCGAAACCAAGAACUCAAAGGUGAUGGCGAGAACACGAAACGACACGAAGGUUUUAGAUAGGUUCGGAUCUCCAGAGAGUAAUAUCCUACGUUCUGUAUACUGGUGUGUAUUGCUUGAGAUUGAUCUGAUUGUUGGGAUGCCUUAUAAUGAAUCUAAUCUACUCGAUAGUUACAUAGAAAGUAAUAUGAGUCGGACAACAAUACGCGUUCCAUGAUAUUCGGGCAGAUUGCCUUGACUUACACUCCAAGUAACUUCAUGCCCUUGGCCCGCACGCCCUGGUCGGGCGGGCCCUACUUGUCAGGUCCAUCUAGUAUCCUAGUUGAUGGGGGCUCAUGGGGUACCCAUAUCCCUCAAGCUCCCGAGCGAUGUGUAGGCGAACAGGAACUUGAGGUCAUCACAGCGAAACUUGAAAUGAAGUCGGCUGAAGCUGCGAAGGCGUCAUGGCGACGGAGAGACUGUGCAGUGCUCAAAAGAAGAAAAUUUGAGCAAACACAGAGCCAACGCAUAGAGUGAAGACGAGUGCUGAGUUGAUGGAUGCUGGCAUCUAGCAGGUUGGAGUGAAGGUUAUGGAGGGUGUCGCAAGACGCACUCCGUAGGAGUAGUCCCCAAGCAUUGAAGCGAUUAAGAUAAUCAGUACAAUGGUCAAAGAAGAAAAAAUUGUCUUCUGAAGCAGAUCCUAGUGCCCGAACACAAGGAUGGGCGCAGCCACAUAGGCCCGCCGACCAGAAAUAGGCACCCAGACCCAAGGAUGAGGACUGGUGGGACCGUGGAGCCACGGCGACCUAAAAUAGGCACCCAACCCCCAAGAAUGAGGAGUAGCAGAGCUGCGGAGGCAUGCCGACCUGAAGUAGGUGCCCAGCCCCCGAGGACGAGGACUAGCGGAGCCAUGGAGGCAUACCGACUUGAAAUAGGCGCCCAGCCCCCAGGGACGAGGACUGGCAGGGCCACGGAGGCACGCCGACAACAAUUAGGCGCCCAACCCUGAGCAUGAGUAUGAGGACUGGCGGAAGCACGUCGAGUCGCCUCCCGCCCUGAGCUGAGGCAGAGAGGUAGGCUGGGCGAUGGGAGGCACACCGAGUCAUCUGCGGCCACCAGCCGCCGAGUCUGGGAGCCGGACGAGUCACAGAAGCAUGCCAAGUCACCUCAUGCCCUGAGCCAGAGAGGUCAGCCGGGUGACGGGAGGCACGCCGUGUCGUCUGCGGUGCCCAGCACCCAAGCCUGGGAGCCGGCUGAGCCACAGAAGCACGCCAAGUCGCCUCCCGCCCUGAGCUAGAGAGGUUGGCCGGGUGAUGGGAGGCACGUCGAGUCGUCUGUGGCGCCCAAUCCCUGAACCUGGGAGCCGGACGAGCCACAGAAGCAUGCCAAGUCGCCUCCCGCCCCGAGCCAGAGAGGUUGGCCAGGUGUUGGGAGGCAUGCCGAGUAGUUUUUGAGCUGUAAAAGGACAAUACAAUCAUUAUGUAGCAUAGUGUAGAUCAUUCAAUAAUUUAACAACUCAGAAGUUUAAUUCGAUAUAGAAGUAAACUCUUGCGCAUCCUGCUAUUGUAGGUCAAGUAAUUUCCCCGGGUAGUUAGCCUGUUACGUUUAAGCACCUAGCUUUGCUGACCACUGCUCACGGAGAGAACAGCUUAUCUCAGGCUAUAGCGUUGGGGCUGACUCGAUGCUCGCAUAUAGGAGACGCACAUGAUGAGUCAAGGUUUCACGAAUUAAGGCGUGUGCUACUCGAGUACUUUAGCAACCGUUAAGAGGGAUGGACAAGCCACAAAUCAGCCGAAACUCUACGGAAAAGCACCAGCAUGAGCUGGGCACCCAUGGAGUGUAGCCCUCGACCGCCCGUGUAGUGGACGGACCAAGCUGUAUAAGUAGUCGGGGUGCGAUCAAGGUGGUCGGUGAAAGUCACGGAGACAUAGGAGAGCCGAGGUGGUCGGCGAAAGUCACAGGGACAUGUAAGAGUCGAGGCAUAUGUAGGUAUACGGAAGCCGUAAAAUAUUUAAUUGUAAAUAAGACUUACCUUGAUUCAUGAUUGAGUCGGAGAACCCGCAUGUCGUCUUCGCGUUUAGGCUUAGAAGCUCCUGAGCGUGGCCGGCGGACAGUUGUUGGUGAAGCAAACUAGUCGGUCUCCAUGCCCAACUAAUUUGUGUCGAGACUGAGUUGUUGGAGUUGUCAGGGACGCAUAUGUGGUUGCGAUCGUGGUAUGCUGCUGCCGAGUCGACGCGGCCGUCGGGUCGUGGUCGGCUGGCCGCCACGCUCGCAGUACAGCGUGCAUGGGUUGUGCUGCCAAACCAAGGGUGCAUGUACAUCUUUCCGAACCUCGUAAGGAAGCCCUCACGUAUUAAGGAAAUAAGAAAAAAAAUUAUUAGCUGCCGUAGUAAGCACCGAGCAACGUAGGAGAUCUACUGGAUAGAAUAGAUUAAAUAAUAAAGGGAAGGGAGAAUUGUUCCCUUUUUUUCCGUGGCAGAUCCGACGUGUCUGCAGGCAACAAGUUGGGGUCCACGUGUCGUGCUAAAUCAACCGGAGGCGUGGUGCUUGGCCUCCUGCGCCUCGCAGAUCUUCUGCAUCUGGAGCAUCCGCUCUAUGACGAGCUCGUACUGGCACUUCUCGUAGGCGUGGCACUCAGGCUCGCACUUCCACGGGAGGUAGAACUCGGAGGUGCGCGCACUGGUCGUGGCAGGCAAGCAGCACCCGGGACUCCGCCAUCUCCACCUGCGUGACGAUCUGGGGCUUCAAGGAGCCGAGCUGCACGCCGGCCGCUGCCGCCGCCUCCAUUUGUCACUUUCUUUCCCUCUCUCACCGGCGAGGUCAUUCUGUCGAUAGAUGGGUGCUGCGGGUUUGGUGCGGCGUGGGUAGGUGGGGUGUAGCAAGGACGUGGAGAGAGAUUGCAUACCUACUGGGCAAGCGGCAUGAUGGUCUUGGAUGGAGAACUUGCUCCGUCGGAGUAAAUCUGACGGAUGCUGAGUUGACGACGGGCGUCGAGUCGAAGUCCACUAGCAUGCUCCCAAAGCGGAGCUGAAUUGGACUGGCGAGGAAUUCCUUCAUGCUCUCGGGGAGAACAAUGCCGGGGUGGGAUGCCAUCGAGCUCGCUGGGGAGGAUCUCAUAAUCACCCCUACCUGGCGUCCCAAUUGUCGGAUUUAUAACCCCAGUAGUCCACUAGGGGGUUACCCAAGUGGUUGAUUUGUAGGUGAGAGCGAUUGCGAAACCAAAAACUCAAAGGUGAUCGCGAGAACACAAAGGGACAUGAAGGUUUUAGACAGUUUCGGACCUCCGGAAAGUAAUACCCUACGUCAUGUAUGCUGGUUUGUAUUGUUUGAGAUUGAUCUGAUUGUUGGGAUACCCUCGGGGGUGCCCUUGGCCACUUUGUAUAGGCUAACGACCAAGAGUUGCAAGUUGGUUUGAAUCUAAUCUACUCGGUAGUUAAAUGGAAAGUAAUCUGAGUCGGACUACAAUACGCGUUCCAUGAUAUCCGGGCAGAUUUGAACUGUCUUGUUGCCUCGUCGUGCACUCCAAGUAACUUCAUAUCCUCAACCUGCACACCCUGAUCGGGCGGGUCCUACUUGUCAGGUCUGACCAGUAUGCUGGGGUACCCAUAUCCCUCACCUUGGUGCUCCGACAGUUAGGGUCGGCGGCGAGGAUGGGGAUUGGAAGCGGAGAUCGAGGGGACUUUAUGGAGAUGCUCACCGUUCCAUCCGGAAUUUGGCUAGCGGCGGAAGAACAUGGCAGCUAGCUCGGGUCUUUGCAAGUGACGGUACUUCGGUGGUGGAGCGGCAACGAAGAUUGGUGGCAGAGCUGCUCCUCGAUGUCACGAAGCUCCCUGAGGCUCCAACUUGCUCCGAUAGUUGACGGGCACAGCGAAUCGGCAAGAGAAGGCCGGCGGCGGCUCCUGGCUUCGGCGGAUGUGGGGUAUGGCGGUGCUCUCGCAAGCUGGGAAGAGCGGCGGAGUGUGGCAGGGCAGCACCAGAGGCACUAUCUCGACUUUAUAGGCACGUGGGUCCGCGCCUGCCUUGGCGCACACGCUGAGGUUCGGUGGUGGCGAUGCCUCAAGCUGCUGGUGGCCGAUGGGCCUAGCGGGCUUGGCUGAGCCAUCAGCUGGGCCGGGUCGGUGCGGGUUGGAUGGAGAGGUUCGGCCCCCAAAGGCUUGGCCCGAUCGAUUAGGAUUUUCCUUUUUUUCAGAAAUGAUUUCUCGUGAAUGAAAAAUCUAGAAAAAUUCUAGAUAAUUCAUUUAAACAACAAAAAAACUCUAAAAAUCCAAAAAUUCUAGGAAAAAUCCUAGAGAUAGUUUGGGGAGGACAGGAGGAGUCCAAAUAAAAUACUUGGAGGGCGUGAAAAGGAUUCUAGAGCCUUUCAAAAAUUGGAUUUAGCUCUGGAAAAAAAUGAGAAUAAAUCUCAGAAAAAUAUGGAAAUUCUCAUAAGAACCUAAUUGGCAUCUAAACGCAUUUCAAAACCUUUGCACUCAUGAAAUACCAAGAUGCAUCGGCAUGAAUGCAACACAUACAUAGAACCAUUGUAUUUAAUUCAGAAAACACAAUCUUUUUCCUAUACUAAAUUUCCUGUCAAGAAAAUAAAUAUUGGAAAAUUUUAAAUUAUCAGAAAAUCAUUGUUUAAUUAUUCUUUUUAAUCACAUCCUGAAAUUUCAAAAAAUUUAGGGUCCAAAAUUCUUUUUACGGAAUUUGACAUUCAUGUCCAAAUUGGAUCUAUCCUUCAAUGAUCUGCAAAGUGAAGUGCCUAAAGGGUUUUUCUUGCAAAUGCAACUUACAUGGCGAUUUAUGGAAAUGAUCAGCUUUGUGGUGGAAUACCUCAACUUCAUUUAGCUCCAUGCUCCAUGUCCUGUGCAAAAAAGAAAUAAAGAAAUUUGUCGAAAACCCUUGGGAUCACCCUAACAUCAAUCAGUGCAGUUGUAUUCUCAGUUUCAGUACUUGAUGUAAUUGUGUUGAUCCGUAAGAAGCUUAGGAAGAGGCAUGAAAGUCAACUCAUAUCCACAACUGAGGAACUGUAUGUAAGAGUUUCUUAUCAUGCUUUGUCAAAUGGGACCAAUGGAUUUUCAGAGGACAAUUUACUUGGACAAGGAAGCUAUGGCAUGGUUUUAUAAAUGUACUUUACAUGACCAGGGCACUACAGUAGCUGUAAAGGUGUUUAACACACAACAAUCUGGGACUUCUAGAAGUUUUGUCACUGAAUGGGAGGCACUCAGAAGGGUGCGUCACCGUUGUCUCGUAAAGAUCAUCACUUGUUGCUCAAGCAUCAAUCACCAGGGUCAAGAGUUCAAGGCACUAGUUUUUGAGCUCAUGCCAAAUGGUAGCCUAAAUGGUUGGCUUCACCCAGAGUCAGAGUCUGACACACUUACCCAGACAAAUACUCUUAGCCUUGAACAAAGGCUACACAUUGCUGUCGAUAUCAUGGAUGCUUUGGACUAUCUUCAUAAUCACUGUCAGCCAUCAAUCAUUCAUUGCGAUCUCAAGCCAAGCAACAUCUUUCUUGCGGAAGACAUGAGUGAGUGCCCGAGUUGGAGGUUUUGGCAUAUCAAGAAUCCUUCCAGAAAGUGCUAGUAAAACCCUGCAAAAUUGGAAUAGCGCAACUGGAAUAAGAGGCACCAUUGGUUAUGUUGCACCAGGUAAUGAAAGAGAUGUUUUUGGUAUUUGUAAAAUGUUCUUAGUUCUUACGUAUACAAGACCUGCUGACCUUUUUUUUUUCCCAAUCAGAGUAUGGUGAAGGUUCUUCUGUCUCAACUCAAGGUGACGUUUAUAGCCUCGGCAUAUUGCUGCUUGAGAUGUUUACUGGAAGGAGCCCAACGGAUGAGAUAUUCAAUGAUUCUUUGCAUUUGCACAAGUUUUCAGAGAAUGCUCUUCCAGAGAGAAUAUGGGAUAUAGUUGACAAUAUGGAUGCACACAGAUGCCUAUAACAGCACUAUAAGAAGUGGAAUUAAGAAUUGCUUGCUUUCUGUCGUUUGUCUUGGAAUAUCAUGCUCGAAGAAACAACCUAGGGAGCGGAUCCCGAUUCAGGAUGCAGCCAUUGAGAUGCACUCUAUUAGAGAUUCGUAUCUCAAGUUUGCCAGGUCUCUUUUGGUGGAGCAUGGAGUAGUAGCAACAACUCACAGUGAUUUCCCACAACAGUGAAUAUACAUAGGACUGAAAAUGGGCAAGAUGUCUGCAGGUGAUCAGUUUACCUGAAAUAACUGAAGAUGUAUGAAGCUUCAGCUUUAUAAUUCGUCCAUGCAUUUGUUUGCAUCAGAUAUAUGGAAGUAUAAAAUAAGUUUAGAAAAUGUUUCAAAAUAGAUUAGAUCCAGAGGUUUUACUUGUCGUCUGUAUGACACAUUUUUUGUAGAGAAUUCAGUAAUAUGUAUGAUUCAUAAUACAAUCCGUGCUCUGCAAAUUUCAGAUAGCACAAUUGUGCGUGUACUGUGACACAAGAAGGUUUAUCAUUUCCAUGUAUGAAGUAGUGUUAAAACUGCUACAUAAAUAUCUUCUCUUAUCUCAUUGUAUGUGUAUAUAUGACACAGAAGCACAUGUAUAUUGGCAUUGUAGAGAGAGAUGAGAGAGAGAAGCUUAUCUGCUAUUUGGAGAUAAAUAUUCAAAUUACUGGUGUAUGAGAGGGAUAUAAUUAUUCUAUCAAAUUGUUUACUCAACAUCUAAAAAGAUUCCAUGUUUAGUCAUCUAUAUCGGCAUUGUAGAGAGAGACUAGUGUUCAGCUGGUUGGAAGGAUGAGAGAGAGAGGAGAGAGUUCGGAUGAGAGAGAGACUAGUGUUCAGUUGGUUGGAAGGAUGAGAGAGAGAGGAGAGUUUGGAUGAUAGAGAGGUUAGUGUUCACCUGGUUGGAAGGAUGAGAGGGAGAUGAGAGAGUUCGGAUGAGGAGGUGGAGAGUUCGAAAGAGAGAGAGGUGAGAGUUUGGAUGAGAGAGAAAGCAGCUUAGAAGGAUGAGAGUGAGAAAGCGGUAUUCAGCUAGAUGGUGGAGACUUCAUAUAUUACUAACUAGCAAGGUGUCCGUGCGUUGCUACGGAGAAAUGACGUUGCUUAGCGCGUAAUGUUUUUUAUCGUGUCGUGUAGCGGACCAUAUUUUUUAUCAUAUUGUGUAACUUUUUUAUUUUAGUUGUAUUAGACUGGCCACGUGAGUGUGUCCAUAUCCCUACCGUGCGGAGAUCGCUUGCCAUCGAACUUGUUAUCACUUUCUCUAUCUUGAGAUUGGUAGGCUUCUACAGCAAUUCUGCACAAAGAAGGCCCCACUUCGCCCCGAUCCCGUUAGUCCCGCGCCUACCCUCUCCCUCUCCGAUCCUUGCCACCAGCUCCUCCUGGUCCAUGUUGGGCCCGUGAUGUAGCGGCCUGUUAUCCUUCCACCGUUGGAAGCGAGCAGUGAUCGCUGCUCUGUGAACCCAACCUCACGCCGUUCCUACCACUUCAGGUCCAGUGAAGCCUGAGCUUUCGCUUGGGCCAAACAGGCCACUACCAACUUGGAACGAGCAGGGCCAGCAAAGGCACACAAUAGAUCCAAGCCCAGAGUCCGCACCCAAACAUCCACACCACCUUAAUACCCCCACUUGGGUUACAAGCCCGCGCAACCAAGCUUGGUGAGGAUGGCUCGUGAGGACGAACAUUUAAGCUGGUGCGGCGCUGCUUCAGAUGGUGAGGUGGUACUAAUCUAAGGAAUAGGAAAAUUUCACAUGGGUCUCACACCGUACCCACCCCUAUCCUUAUCCUUUCUCAUCUCUCUACUAUCCGUUCAGUCCUUAUCCUCUUCGUCUCAUCUUUCUCUCCCUCUCCCUCUCAAACUCUCUAUCUCUCCUAUCCUAUCCCCUCUAUCUCUGGAGAAGGUGGUGCACGGCCGGCCCCAGCAGCGGCCUGGGGGCGCGGGGUGUCGGUGGCGGCCGAGGGUCGUGGGGUUGUGGUGAGGAGCCUCCUGGCCAUGGAUGCGAUGGCCUAGCCACGGGCACCGGGCCGCGUUGCACCGCAUGCUGCUGCUGCCGAGUAGGCCGCACGCACUGCCCGCGCACCAGGUAGCACGGGCGGCCGGGGCCGGGGAGGCGACUCUGGCGUGGCCGGCUAUGGUGGGAAGGGAGAGGCAGAUGGUGGCGCAACGGCGGCAUGGAGAGGCGGACGUCGGGCACGGACGGGUGAAAGGGGAGAUGGGGAAAGAAAGCUGGUCCCACCUGCCAAUGCAGCCGGGGUCGGGGUGGCGCGGGCAGCCGAGGCCGAGGCCGGGCGGCACGACCGGGGCCAGGGAGGUGGCUCUGGCGUGGCCGGCUGUGGUGGGCGGGGAGACUCGGACAGCGGCGCAACGGCGGGCACGAAGAGGUGGACGUCGGGCACGGACGGGUGAAAGGGGAGACGGGGAAAGAAAACUAGACCCUCCUGUCAAUGCGUUAAUCUUACCUAUUAUUAAACAUCAGGGCGACCUCUCGUUGAAAAACAAAAAAAAUGGACACAAGUGUUCCUCACUUUAAUAAUAAUAAUAAAGUAUAGAUAAUGUAUCAAAUAGCAUUUGUAAUUUAAUUCUAAGAAAAACUUUCUCAGUACCAAACAAGAAAAUUCAAUUGAAUCAAAUUCUACGGAAUCCAUUUCUUAUGGAAUCUAAUUGCUAGAAUAUGAUUCAUGGAAUAAGUUUCAACUCUAGGGAUCCAAACAUACCCGUAGUUAUUUCUUAUGCCGCUCAAAUCAGACGCAAGGUACGUCCUAACUAAAAAACGUAAGUUACUUUAUGUUAUCUUGUGAAUCAGUGAUUAAUUACUUCCAAUCUUAUGUAAAAAGAACUACGAGUUAAAUUCUUUGUCAGAUUUAUACUGACAAGUUACAAGCACAUGCCUCUGCAGUAACAGGCGAGCCCUAGACUAGUGGGCAAACCAAAAACAACAUGAUUCGUCAACUGAUCGAAUGCUAAUGACUAUUUUGCUAGGAGAAUGAACAUGAUUCAUACAAAAAAGGGGAGUUAGUAAAAGGGGAGCUACUAACUUGGUCAAGGUCUCCGUCCUCUGGCGUGGGGAAGGGGCCAUCUUGCUCCACUCCACGUCUGCGUGGUUGCUCGGCGGGCGCGACGGCGUCGGGUGCGGAGUGCUGACGGCGCGUAGAUAUGUCAUUGUUGAUCAGGACAUGCACUUCUAUCACCAUCUGUGGUUGGCGUCCGCGGCCGAGCGGGUCAAGAUCUCCGUCCUCUAGCGUGGGGAAACAGGAUCUCUUCAAUCAGUGCUUCUACAGAAACGGUGCACGGUCACCACGGACCAACGACAUACCAUGAGAAAAGCAGAGCUAAAUGUUGCAGUAGCAGAGUAACCGGAGACUGCAGAGCACUUGCUGCUAAAAGCUGCCUCUUAUUUUGUAUCGUCUUAACAGAAGACUUUAAGUCAGCCGCCAUUCGAUUCCAAUAUAAACUUGCAAGUUGGCCCGCGAUAAUAGCGCAGCUAGAUUUGAUACAUGUGCAUAUGCACGCCUAAUUAAAAUUGCUCACUUGUAACAAAAUAAUAACAACUUGAGUAGUUGAUUAUGAUCUUAUGUUGCAGUUUUUGCCAACUUUUCCUAGUAUUAUUGUGUUGAGUAGAAAGCCUGUGUAGAAAAAGAUACAAAACAAACAAUCAUGUCAACUACUCCCAUAUGCUUGCUCAAAUGAUUUUGAAAAAAAAAAAACAACCGCGCUCUAAGUCCUAGGGCGGUGAUAUUCCUCCUUACUUUCCUCCUCUCGUUUUCCUUGCACAAUCCAGGAUGACAAAUACCACAAACCACUUAGGCUCGAUCAUGUUUCAUCAUCACAUUCCUCAAAUCUUGAUCACGUUGUUGUCUUCGUUAUGCUAGCAGUACACAUCUCUCCGCCUCAUAAGAUUACUAAGGUCUCAUAAGAUUUUUGAUGGAUUUGCAUUAAUAUUAAUAUUGCCACCAAUCUAGUCUCAACCUUGCUUGUGUUCUCCAUGGUCAUGUUUUAUUCUAACUUGCAAGACCUACAAGCGCAUAUGAUGGUUCUUCUAUAUACAUAAUAUAUCGCAUCUCCUAAGACAUAUAUCGCGGGCCGGUGGCGCGCGGGGGAGCGGCGCCGGUGGAGCGGAGGCGACCGGCGGUGGGCAGAGGCGGGUGGGUGCGGGCGCAGGCGGAGGUGGGUGGGCAUGCGGGGGAGCGGCGCUGGCGGAGCGAAGGCGGGUGGGCGCGGGCAUAGGCGGAGGCGGAGGCCGGCGCGGGCACGUGCGGAGGCGGACGGGUGGAGGCAUGCAGCGGCGGGCGGGCACGGGCGAGUGGCGGCUGGGCCGGCGGCGGCCUCGCGGCACGGGUGGAGGCGGAGACCGGCAACGGCCGGGCAGCCCUCCGGCGAGCGUGGGGCUUUUUUUUAUUUUUUUUCAAAAAUUUUUAGUCCCGGUUGGUAGUUGGUAACACCAAUUGGUACAAAAGGGGGCCUUUAGUUCCAGGUGGAUUACCCGGGACUAAAGACCCCCUCUUUUGUCUUGAAAAAUUUAUCCCGGAUAACUUAGAGAGAUUUGAGCCUAUCCAACCGGGACUAAAGGUGAGUUUUCCAUCGGUGAAUGUCAGAGGCUCAUCCUAAAUGGUGACACCAUGCUGAUCAUGCAAUUUAUCAUUAUUUUAUCGCCCUCAUGCAUGCUGCAUGAUAGAUAUUGGUACUGGGCAGCUUAGAUUCCUCAGCGCAUCAUGCUGCUCAGCCAUGGAGGUCAAGUCAUCGCUAUUGUCCAUAUCACAACGCCUCUGCGUUCUCUUGUUGUCCUCCCCUUCCCUCUACCUUGCACCUUCUUGUUUUGCUGAUCCUAUUGUCAGUUUGUUGCAGCCAUUUAUGGGCACCUCUUUCAUCCAUUGUCCACUGUUGUUGCCCGCUGCCUCAGUUCUUCUCUGACCAAAGCGGUCGUAUCGCGCUGGUCGGUAGGAAGCCAUCGUCUCGCAAAAGCAUAGUCGUCGUCGCCAAACCACAUCUAGCCGAUGCCGAACCAUACUUUUGCCAUCUUGUUUGCCAACUUGCCGCUAUGGAAGCCUCCAUGCAUCGCUCAUCGAGUCUAUCCUAUCUCUAUCAGCUCCUGUGGUAUCCUGUUUUGUUUUUGCCUCAACCACGAAGCCAUAGGUUGCUGGUGCUAAAUUGCAGGGCCAGCAACAGGUAUUUCCUCUCCCUGGCCUUGCGGCCAUGCUAUGUAUUUUUCUCUCUCAAAAAAAAUUCCAAUGAUUUAAUCCUAAUGUUCCGAUCAUGUGUGAUUGGUUUAUUAAUUAAAGUUAGAGUUAUACUUUAAGUAUAUUAUAUAAAAAUAAUAUAUAUAUAUAUAUAUAUAUGUAUAUAUAAAAGUUACCAUGCAAAGUACAACUUCCAAUAAGGUGGAGAGGUUCGGAUGGAAUUUUGAUUCAACUUACUCUAUUCUAGAUAUUAGAGUUGUACUAGCAAAAUACCGCUACGGUAAAAAAAUCAAUUGGGUUUUUCAACUAAUAAUAUUUUUUAUUUUCAUCACUAAAUUUUUAUUCCACUUAUUGGAUGUCCACACAUUUUAAUAGAAAACUAAAAAAUGUUUGACUAAUUAUUUCCUUCACUCAAAUACCCAUUAAAUUAAAAUAUUUUUUUAUUCAAGCAAGAGAGUUAAAUCAGCCUCCGAUGGCCACCGAUGGGGGCUCUUUAGUCCCGGUGGGUAAUAUCAACUGGGACUAAAGAACCCCUUUAGCCCCGGUUGUAAAAGCUAGUGGCCCUCGGGAUUCUGGUGGAGUGUUUUGUCCUGGUUGCAACUACCAACCAGGACUAAAGGAGACCUUUAGUUCCGAUUGGUGUUUCCAACCUGGACAAAACGCUCCCCGCCUCCACACACACAAUGCGCGUGUCCCACUUUCUCUCCUCCCUCUCCUUAAUUCCAGUGCCUAUGCCUCCUCUCCUUAAUUCCAACACCCACAUGCCUCCUCUCCUCCUCCCUUCGGUCCCUACCUCCUCUCCUCCCUCUCUUCCUCCGCCGGAUCCGGCCGGCCCCCACUCCCUCUCCCCAAGCUCCUCCCUCUCCCUCGGCCGCGCAGGUCAGGCGGUGCGGCCGGGGCCGGGGCGGCGUGGGCGGUCGGGGCUCGGGAGGAUGACAGGUGGUUAUGAGGAUGAUACCUGCAGACAAUACUUUUAAUCCCUCAAUUCUUACCGAGAAUUGCACUAUGAACUGCGCUUUCAUUUAUGCUACACCGCUCAGCUAUAAAAAAGGUGCAAAUCGACCAAAAUAAAUGAAUAAACCACACGGUUUAGACUGGUGGCAUCUAUAUGUUUGAUGAGUUUUGAAUCCCAACAGACCUCUGUUUGCUUAUCCAACAGGAGGAAAAAACUUUACUUACUAAAUAAGCUUUGCAUGCCAGGCUGCAAUUGUUAGAGCAGGAUUGGGUAAUUUGUGAACAUAAUUGAAUCAAAGUUUUGUCUCAGACUAGUAAUAGAAAAUGGUAAUGCUCCAUAGCUAGAACACGUUCCUACACUAGUUUAAAAAAUUCCCUGAAAUUGGGAACAAUGGUCAAGCCCAAACCAAACUUGGAACUUGGAAGGCCGCUGGCCAAUGUCAAAGUCAAAAAACAGAAGCAGACAGCGACGUCUCACCAGAUCACGAAUCAGCCUUAGGAUUAAUACACUCUGUCUGGCAAUGCGGCAAUGCGCGUAGCUCCCCUGCUGACCAAGAAAAGCAAGCUCCGUCUGGCAGCAAGCUCUUCAAUACGCUCCAGCCCAGCUCUACCAUGGCAUUGGCGAUGCGCGUCAUGAGCUUGCUUCCUGCCACCAUCGCCGUGAUGAUCGCAGCAGCCUUCUGGGGAGCGCACGGCGGUGCCAGCGACGAGGCCAGCGCGCUGCUUGCUUUCAAGGCUGAGCUCGCCGGCAGCGGCUCCGGCAUGCUUGCAUCCUGGAAUGGCACCGCUGGCGUCUGCGGCUGGGAGGGCGUGGCGUGCACCGGCGGCCAGGUGGUGGCACUGAGCCUGCCCUCCUAUGGGCUCGCCGGAGCCCUCUCCCCGGCCAUUGGGAACCUCACUUUCCUGCGGACCCUGAACCUGAGUUCCAACUGGUUCCAGGGGGAGGUCCCAGCAAGCAUCGGCCGCCUAGCGCGUCUGCAGACGCUUGAUCUGAGCUACAAUGCGUUCUCUGGUACGCUUCCUUCCAACCUCAGUUCCUGUGUCAGCUUACUGCUGUUGAGGCUCAGCAGUAACCGGUUCCAUGGGCGUAUCCCUGUUGAGCUUGGAGACAAGCUAACAAGUCUUCAGAAGUUCUCACUGGGCAACAACAGCUUGACGGGUGCCAUACCAGGAUCACUAGGUAACCUGUCAUCCCUGAACUACCUUGAUCUGACAGAAAACCACCUCGAGGGUCCGAUCCCACAUGAACUUGGCAGCAUGGGCGGCCUGCAGGUCCUUUUACUCUAUGAGAACAGACUCUCCGGUGUGCUUCCACACUCCCUGUACAAUAUGUCCUCACUGAAAAAGUUGGAUGUAGGAAACAACACGCUGUCUGGAACCAUCCCUGCUGAUAUCGGCGAUAGGUUCGCCGGUAUGGAAGUUCUUGACUUUAGUAGCAACCGAUUAAGUGGAGCUAUCCCACCUUCGCUCGGCAACCUCUCUGCUCUCACAAAACUAAACCUUCCAGGAAAUGAUUUUAUUGGAUAUGUGCCUUCUGCUUUGGGGAAGUUGCAAAGUCUUACUGACCUGUUCUUGACUGACAACAGGCUAGAAGCAAACGACAGUCAAGGGUGGGAAUUCAUCACUUCACUGGCAAACUGCUCCCAGCUUCAGUAUCUUGUUCUCGGCAACAACUCUUUCAGCGGGCAACUGCCUAAUUCAGUCGCAAACCUGUCAUCAACUCUGCAACGUCUUUAUUUGGGAGACAAUAUGAUUUCUGGGAAUAUUCCAAUAAACAUCGGAAAUUUGGUUGGUCUUACAGUACUUGAGAUGGCAAAUACUUUAGUAUCUGGACAGAUUCCAGAGAGCAUUGGUCAGCUAAGAAACUUGGGUGUGUUAGGCCUUUACAACACUAGCUUGUCAGGCCUCAUACCUUCAUCACUAGGAAAUCUUAC
Molecule: long non-coding RNA, 38232 nt
Filed under: Setaria viridis
Lineage: Eukaryota; Viridiplantae; Streptophyta; Magnoliopsida; Poales; Poaceae
Description: long non-coding RNA (SVIR_LNC005244)
Source: RNAcentral